CCUGACACAGGUCACAGUGUGGUAUGGAGGUAUACCUUGACCUCCAGUCACCUGACACAGGUCCUAGUGUGGUAUGGAGGUAUACCUUGACCUCCAGUCACCUGACACAGGUCCUACAGCUUGUUCAGCUUGACCUGAGCUACUCUACAUAUGCAUGACCCGGGAGGUCAAAUGGCACAGAUGGCAGGUCGAGUUAACUUCAUUAAAUAGGGGACAUGUUCUGGUCAGCCCAGGGUUGCACUGGAAUCACCAGUUGCUGCUGCAGUUUGCUGCCUAAAAGCGGGAAUCGGAAAUAUUAAACCAUCUGCAGCUUCUUUUUUUUAAGAAAGUUAGGACAUUUGCUGAGACACUGAGAUGGCAAACGGCGACCUCAAUGUCUCGGCUUUUCAGGCAUGUUGACAAUCAACUGACAAAGGUGCACCCUUCACAAUAAUAGACCCAACCAGUUAUGACACGGUCACGCAAUGCAUUAGUAUUCACUUGAUCAGGUCAAGCUGACCUCCAGUCACUUGACACAGGUCACAGUGUGGUAUGGAGGUAUACCUUGACCUCCAGUCACUUGACACAGGUCCUAGUGUGGUAUGGAGGUAUACCUUGACCUCCAGUUACUUGACACAGGUCCUAGUGUAGUUUGGAGGUAUACCUUGAGAUCCAGUCACUUGACACAGGUCCUUGUGUGGUAUGGAGGUAUACCUUGACCUCCAGUCACUUGACACAGGUCCUUGUGUGGUAUGGAGGUAUAUCUUGACCUCCAGUCACUUGACACAGGUCCUAGUGUAGUUUGGAGGUAUACCUUGAGAUCCAGUCACUUGACACAGGUCCUUUUGUGGUAUGGAGGCACACCUUGACCUCCAGUUACUUGACACAGGUCCUAGUGUAGUUUGGAGGUAUACCUUGACAUCAAGUCACUUGACACAGGUCCUUGUGUGGUAUGGAGGUAUACCUUGACCUCCAGUCACUUGACACAGGUCCUUGUGUGGUAUGGAGGUAUAUCUUGACCUCCAGUCACUUGACACAGGUCCUAGUGUAGUUUGGAGGUAUACCUUGAGAUCCAGUCACUUGACACAGGUCCUUGUGUGGUAUGGAGGCACACCUUGACCUCCAGUUACUUGACACAGGUCCUAGUGUAGUUUGGAGGUAUACCUUGACAUCCAGUCACUUGACACAGGUCAAAUAGUUCAAAAUAUUUACACCUUGAAUUCCACUCACCUAAUUCAUUCAGUAGAAAACUAAACCAUAUCACAUCAUAUACAUGUCAUUGUUGAAAAGUAGGGACAUCAGUCCAGGGUGUACACACUACGGUCACCCACAUAGACAGAGCAGAUGAAAUCAAACAGAGAAGAGUUAGGCCUUUCUCACCCAGGUACCUGGUACCUAUACUUGCACAGACUGGUAGAUAUACUGCUGAUGUUUUCCCAAAGCCCCCACUAUUUCAGAAGAACAUGUUAUUUUAUUGUUCAAUCAUUCAUGGAACAAAAUAGAUUUUAAUCAUUGAUUGUUAUAAUAUCUUUCUACUCUUUGACUUUUUAAAUAAAACUUCAAUCUUGUAUGUGUAA
Molecule: long non-coding RNA, 1556 nt
Organism: Haliotis rubra (blacklip abalone)
Lineage: Eukaryota; Metazoa; Mollusca; Gastropoda; Lepetellida; Haliotidae
Exons: 2
Source: RefSeq, a predicted model, not a curated record